This is a long non-coding RNA of Ailuropoda melanoleuca (giant panda), 534 nucleotides long. RefSeq lists it as uncharacterized. The transcript is spliced from 3 exons. NCBI's taxonomy places the organism in Eukaryota, Metazoa, Chordata, Mammalia, Carnivora, Ursidae. The record is from RefSeq and is a predicted model, not a curated record.
CUUGAGUUUUCCAGAAAACAAUCCAGAAAGAGAAAAGAAAAUGACCAGACCCAGAUGUUUAUCAUCCACUUCUUACACCUGUGAUCGCCAAGCUGCUGCUUCUCCUCGCCCCCCCGCCGCCAUCAUCAGAAAGGGCCUCCCAGGGCCUCGCCGUCCACGGUGGCUCCACUGACCAUCAGCACGUCGCUGGGGAGCUGGCAGAAAUGCAGACCCUCAGACCCACCCUGGGCCUGCUGGAUGGGAGCCUGCACCCAUCCAGGAGCAGCACCACUUCCUCCCCCCGCCCCCCAGGCUUUCACCCUGCUGUCACCUUGCUCCAGGACUGCACAAGCCCCGUACCCCAGCAUGCAAUUAGGUGUCUCAGCACCCUUCCAGUCUGAGGACAGCCUGCAGCCUUCUCUCACCUGCGGAAAUCAGUCCUUCACCCCGCUCCAGUGCAAUGCACGUGGCUGCCCAGCUGCCACACCCUUUCUACCACUUGCUCUUGUUCAUGCUGUUCUCACGCUGAGGACCUGCCCCAACCCCAGGCAUCCU